This 1688-nucleotide unclassified non-coding RNA is filed under the name Neodiprion lecontei (redheaded pine sawfly). RNAcentral's name for it is "fumarylacetoacetase, transcript variant X1". Lineage: Eukaryota; Metazoa; Arthropoda; Insecta; Hymenoptera; Diprionidae. The record is from RNAcentral.
CUUCCCACAGUCGCGUUACACCAGCAGUAAGUAUCUGCCGUUCGACGAGCGACACGGUAAGCCUCGUUAAAAAAAUGAAAUCUUUCAUCGAAUACUCGCCGAGCAGUGAUUUCCCCCUGGAAAAUCUCCCCUAUGGAGUCUUCUCCACAUCGACUAACCCCGUGAAAAGAAUAGGCGUCGCGAUUGGCUCAGAAAUAUUGGACCUCAAGGCGGUGGCUCAUUUGUUUACGGGUAAAAUUCUUGCUGGAAAACAAGAUGCGUUACGUCAGGAAGCCCUCAAUGAUUUCAUGGCGCUUGGCAGGCCGGCUUGGACUGAAGCCAGAUCCACACUGCAGGAUCUACUCUCGGCGGACAAUCAUACCUUGCAGGAACCGGAAAUACGCUCUAAAGUAUUCGUGCAGCAAAGAGACGCAGUGAUGCAUCUCCCAGCAAAAAUAGGUGACUACACAGACUUCUACUCGUCGAUUCACCACGCGACUAACGUGGGGACGAUGUUUCGUGGAAAAGAGUCGGCUUUGAUGCCAAAUUGGAAAUAUCUUCCGGUUGGGUAUCACGGAAGAGCAAGUUCGGUCGUUGUUUCUGGGACGCCUAUCAGGAGACCGCGGGGUCAGACACUUCCGGUGGAUGGGGCUGCCCCCGUUUACGGUCCAUGCAGGCUGAUGGACUUCGAACUGGAAGUCGCCUUCUUCGUUGGGGGGCCGGCAACCAGACUGGGAGAGAGUAUACCGGCCGCGAAGGCCUACGACCACAUAUUCGGAAUGGUGACGAUGAACGAUUGGAGCGCCAGAGACAUACAGAAGUGGGAAUACGUUCCGCUGGGUCCAUUCACAGCCAAGAAUCUCGGGACAACGAUAUCUCCAUGGGUCGUUACAAUGGAAGCCCUCGAGCCAUUCAAAGUUCCAAACAUGCCGCAAAAUCCAGACCCGUUUCCCUACCUACAUCACGAGGGUUCUUGCAACUUUGACAUCAAACUGGAAGUUGAUAUCAAAGGUCCUCAGGGCGUCGCCACCACCGUGACCAGGAGUAAUUACAAAUUCAUGUACUGGACGCCGCAACAGCAGCUUGCUCAACAUACCGUGACCGGAUGCAAUUUGAAUCCUGGUGACCUGAUGGCAUCGGGAACAAUCAGUGGCGAGACGGUCGACUCUUACGGAUCAAUGCUUGAGCUCAGUUGGAAAGGUACGAAGCCGGUACCUCUAAAAGACGGAACUGUCCGAAAGUUUUUGCAAGAUGGUGAUGAAGUAUCAAUCAAAGGUUUCUGCGUGGGUGAGAACUAUCGUAUUGGCUUUGGUCCUUGCGUUGGUAAAUUGUUACCUACGAAUCCCGAAUAAGGAGGCGAUUCUGGAGCGAGCAUUUUGUACUCCCAACUUUUGUACAAUGAAAAACUUGAUAUUAUAGUCUAGUGAGGUGCCGCCAUCCCAGUGACAAUUUAACGUACUGGUUUUGCCGCGAACUAGCAAAAGCGGCAAUCAGCUCUAAACCGUGUGUCGACAAACUUAUCAUUCGCUAGAAUGAAGUGAUAUCUUACCGCAGUAACCACAUUACUGCCAGAAUUGUGAAAACUUCAGGCAAAUGUUGAUCUACGCCGACUACAACUCUGCAUAUUUUUUACCUAGACGUAUUUUAAUUUCCGAUAAACCAUAAUAUUUUUGAACUUGAAUAAAGUGCUGAAAUACGAAUCAAAACUA